AGAAGCACCCUGAGGUAAUAAGCACUGCUAAUUCUUAUAACCACGGUUAAAGUCCGUGGGCUCCUC
Molecule: transfer RNA, 66 nt
Filed under: Lepidocephalus macrochir
Lineage: Eukaryota; Metazoa; Chordata; Actinopteri; Cypriniformes; Cobitidae
Description: tRNA-Ser
Source: RNAcentral